Molecule: long non-coding RNA, 1327 nt
Organism: Monodelphis domestica (gray short-tailed opossum)
Lineage: Eukaryota; Metazoa; Chordata; Mammalia; Didelphimorphia; Didelphidae
Source: RefSeq, a predicted model, not a curated record
CUCUGUGAUUCAUAGCCCCAGAGAGUCAUAAGAAUAUUUUUUUAAAUAUAUUUUAUUUGAUCAUUUCCAAGCAUUAUUCAUUAAAGACAUAGAUCAUUUUCUUUUCCUCCCUCCAACCCCCCAUAGCUGACGUGUAAAUCCACUGGGCAUUAGAUGUUUUCUUGAUUUGAACCCAUUGCUUUGUUGAUAAUAUUUGCAUUAGAGUGUUCUUUUAGAGUCUCUCCUCUGUCAUGUCCCCUCAACUGCUGUAUUCAGGCAGUUGCUUUUCCUCGGUGUUUCCACUCCCACAGUUUGUCCUCUGCUUAUGAAUAGUGUUUUUUCUCCUAGAUCCCUGCAGAUUGUUCAGGGACAUUACACCGCCACUAAUGGAGAAGUCCAUUACGUUCGAUUAUACCACAGUGUAUUAGUCUCUGUGUACAAUGUUCUCAAAUAGUAGCUACAUUCUGGUCCCUGAAGGGAAGAAAUCAUUAUAGAAAAAGUCAUGGGUCUUUCACAGAUUUUCCCAGCCUGUGACAAUAGAAGUCAGGUACUAAUAAGAUGCACCUGAGUAAAAGCCCCAUAUAUAAAAUCUAAAAAAAUCCAUCUGGCCUCACUAGCAUUACUGGGCAACCUAAUUAUGGAGAUGAGACAAAUGUCCAGGAGCAUCGGAGACCUGAUGAAACGACAUCAGAGAGAAGACUCUCCACAGAGUGCUAAUGACCUCUGAAUUCCUUCUGCCCUAGUCAGACAAUCAUGGCACCCAUGGUCCUUGAUUGUACUCCUUCCUUGUUUAGCAAGAAAGUUUGCAAACUGAUUGACAGUCCUCAAACCAAGAUUCUACAGGGCUGGCUGGGUCAGGAUUCUAAGACAGUUGGGGGCAGGAGAGGCUGACAACUGUCUCUCUCAAGCUCGGGUUCAGACAGAGAGGCUGUGUGUCAAAGAGUCUUCCUGAAGAAAUCAUCUUUGAAGCUGCCUGACUUGGAUUAUCUUCAAGGAAAGGUUGAGUGUGGGUUCCCCUUUCACACUGGUGGACAGAUGUGAGUAGGUGUGAACUUUCUUCCUUCCUGGAUCUUGUAAGGACCCUACAUCUGGAUUCUUCAGGCUGACCCUACCAAGGAAUUUCAGAAUUUGUGACAAGGAUGAAGAAAUGGCAAAGGAGACCAAGAGGAAGGUUGAGAGGAAAACCAAGAGAGAACAUUUUCACAAAAAUCCAAAGAAUAAAGUAUAGUGUCCAGUAGGAAAAGUUGAAUGAUGAUUCCAAAUAUUUCAGAUGAAUAAAGAUAAGGAUUGAGAAAAGGCCAUUAGAUUUGACAAUUAAAUUUGAUACCAAGCUGAUAGGAAUAACUAA